GGAAAACACUUCUUAAGCAAAUGUUCGCACAAAAGCGAUUUUGGCGCGUGUUAGUGAGAAAUAUCGAGAGAGUCGGUAGCUACAAGUAAAGAAAUUUAUGUUUGCUGGAUAAAUGUCAAAUGGUCCGAUGCAUCAGCAGAUGUUGGUCCAUUCCCCAAACCAACUCUUGGAUCUCCGGCAGUGUGAGAACAAAUUAGUAGACGUUUAUCCUCGUUUGAAAAAUCCCUCAACCUAUCUAACUAUAAGCGUUGCUUAAAUGCACUACAAUAAUAUUCGUAACGCUUUCUUAAUAGCUUAAAAAGAUCUUGCAUUUAGUUACUCUACUGCCCAAUGUCAAAUUCUUGCUAUAGCUUUCACCAAAGAAAAAGCAAGAUGUUCACAAAAUAAUAAUUUUUUUUCCUUUUGUAUCGAUUCUUCGAUCAGUCUUAAAAAAAUAAAGCAAGUUGUCUAUUACAAAACCGACUAUUAGUAAAAAGAUGAUGCCCAGGCUCUCAUAAAAAUUUAGUCACAGUUCCUCAUUUGAUUUUAAUAAUAAAGCAAAAACGAUAACAUAUUACCAA
Molecule: non-coding RNA, 560 nt
Organism: Schizosaccharomyces pombe (fission yeast)
Lineage: Eukaryota; Fungi; Ascomycota; Schizosaccharomycetes; Schizosaccharomycetales; Schizosaccharomycetaceae
Source: the annotation of a GenBank genome assembly